Molecule: ribosomal RNA, 497 nt
Filed under: uncultured bacterium
Lineage: Bacteria
Description: partial 16S ribosomal RNA
Rfam family: Bacterial small subunit ribosomal RNA
Source: RNAcentral
GAUGAACGCUGGCGGCGUGCCUAAUACAUGCAAGUCGAGCGAACAGAUGAGGAGCUUGCUCCUCUGACGUUAGCGGCGGACGGGUGAGUAACACGUGGAUAACCUACCUAUAAGACUGGGAUAACUUCGGGAAACCGGAGCUAAUACCGGAUAAUAUAUUGAACCGCAUGGUUCAAUAGUGAAAGACGGUUUUGCUGUCACUUAUAGAUGGCUCCGCGCCGCAUUAGCUAGUUGGUAAGGUAACGGCUUACCAAGGCAACGAUGCGUAGCCGACCUGAGAGGGUGAUCGGCCACACUGGAACUGAGACACGGUCCAGACACCAACAGUAGGCAGCAGUGGGGAAUCUUCCGCAAUGAGCGAAAGCCUGACGGAGCAACACCGCGUGAGUGAUGAAGGUCUUCGGAUCGUAAAACUCUGUUAUUAGGGAAGAACAAAUGGGUAAGUAACUAUGCACGUCUUGACGGUACCUAAUCAGAAAGCCACGGCUAACUACGUG